UGUCAUAGUUCAUUACGUGCUGGGACCAAAGGUGGCCUCUACAUGUAAGCUAUCGCGUUGGGAUGGGCCCAGUUAGGAUUAGCUAGUUGGUAAGGUAAUGGCUUACCAAGGCAACGAUCCUUAGCUGGUUUGAGAGGAUGAUCAGCCACACUGGGACUGAGACACGGCCCAGACUCCUACGGGAGGCAGCAGUGGGGAAUAUUGCACAAUGGGGGAGACCCUGAUGCAGCCAUGCCGCGUGUGUGAAGAAGGCCUUCGGGUUGUAAAGCACUUUCAGCAGUGAGGAAGGUAAUGUACUUAAUACGUGCAUUGCUUGACGUUAGCUGCAGAAGAAGCACCGGCUAACUCCGUGCCAGCAGCCGCGGUAAUACGGAGGGUGCGAGCGUUAAUCGGAAUUACUGGGCGUAAAGCGCAUGCAGGCGGUUUGUUAAGUCAGAUGUGAAAGCCCGGGGCUCAACCUCGGAACCGCAUUUGAAACUGGCAGGCUAGAGUCUUGUAGAGGGGGGUAGAAUUUCAGGUGUAGCGGUGAAAUGCGUAGAGAUCUGAAGGAAUACCAGUGGCGAAGGCGGCCCCCUGGACAAAGACUGACGCUCAGAUGCGAAAGCGUGGGUAGCAAACAG
This 620-nucleotide ribosomal RNA is filed under the name Salinivibrio sp. TA39. RNAcentral's name for it is "bacterial SSU rRNA". It matches the Rfam family "Bacterial small subunit ribosomal RNA", at positions 173 to 775 of the family's 1533-position model. Lineage: Bacteria; Pseudomonadati; Pseudomonadota; Gammaproteobacteria; Vibrionales; Vibrionaceae. The record is from RNAcentral.